Molecule: ribosomal RNA, 238 nt
Filed under: Salmonella enterica subsp. enterica serovar Telelkebir
Lineage: Bacteria; Pseudomonadati; Pseudomonadota; Gammaproteobacteria; Enterobacterales; Enterobacteriaceae
Description: partial 23S ribosomal RNA
Rfam family: Bacterial large subunit ribosomal RNA
Source: RNAcentral
GGUUAAGCGACUAAGCGUACACGGUGGAUGCCCUGGCAGUCAGAGGCGAUGAAGGACGUGCUAAUCUGCGAUAAGCGCCGGUAAGGUGAUAUGAACCGUUAUAACCGGCGAUUUCCGAAUGGGGAAACCCAGUGUGACUCGUCACACUAUCAUUAACUGAAUCCAUAGGUUAAUGAGGCGAACCGGGGGAACUGAAACAUCUAAGUACCCCGAGGAAAAGAAAUCAACCGAGAUUCCC